This 497-nucleotide ribosomal RNA is filed under the name uncultured bacterium. RNAcentral's name for it is "partial 16S ribosomal RNA". It matches the Rfam family "Bacterial small subunit ribosomal RNA", at positions 28 to 507 of the family's 1533-position model. The record is from RNAcentral.
GAUGAACGCUGGCGGCGUGCCUAAUACAUGCAAGUCGAGCGAACGGACGAGAAGCUUGCUUUUCUGAUGUUAGCGGCGGACGGGUGAGUAACACGUGGAUAACCUACCUAUAAGACUGGGAUAACUUCGGGAAACCGGAGCUAAUACCGGAUAAUAUUUUGAACCGCAUGGUUCAAAAGUGAAAGACGGUCUUGCUGUCACUUAUAGAUGGAUCCGCGCUGCAUUAGCUAGUUGGUAAGGUAACGGCUUACCAAGGCAACGAUGCAUAGCCGACCUGAGAGGGUGGUCGGCCACACUGGAACUGAGACACGGUCCAGACUCCUACGGGAGGCAGCAGUAGGGAAUCUUCCGCAAUGGGCGAAAGCCUGACGGAGCAACGACGCGUGAGUGAUGAAGGUCUUCGGAUCGUAAAACUCUGUUAUUAGGGAAGAACAUAUGUGUAAGUAACUGUGCACAUCUUGACGGUACCUAAUCAGAAAGCCACGGCUAACUACGUG